GGGGAUGAACUAAUGAAUGAAUUAACAAAUGAAGUAUUACAGCUUCUUCUUCUGAUUAAUCCUACAAGAAUAUAUAAUGGAGUAAUUAAAUGAAAAUUCUCAGAACAGGAGAUGCAAUUGGCGAUAACUUGAAAUCAACAACAUUAUCAUCACGAGGAGUUAAGUUUAAGUCCAAACAAAAAAUCCUCUUGCUGCUAUUCGACUUCGUCAACACUGGUAUUAUCGUUUUAUUAAUUUCAUCGCGAUGACGCCUCAUGUGCCCUCCCAAUGCUUGACCUAAAGAAAACUCCACACCACAAAUAGAACAUUUAUGCAUCUUAUUCUUUUUGUUGGUUUCAAUAACAAACUCUCCCAUCAAUUUUGGCUUUUUAUUAUGACUUGCACGGUGACCGCCUAAGGCUUGAAAAGAUGGGAAGCGUUUAUUACAAGUCUUGCAUUCAAAAUCAUUAAUAUGAUGAUGAUGAUCUGAUGACGAUGAACAAGUGUUGUUGUUGAAACGAGACAAAAGCAUUAAGGCGCAGUUAGCCAUGGCCUCUGCUUCAAUUUGCAUAUUCUCUUCUCUGCUUCUUUUCAUAGAUGUCAUAUUAUCAAGAAAGAC
This 598-nucleotide unclassified non-coding RNA is filed under the name Hevea brasiliensis (rubber tree). Lineage: Eukaryota; Viridiplantae; Streptophyta; Magnoliopsida; Malpighiales; Euphorbiaceae. The record is from RNAcentral.